GGGUUGUGAGGUUAAGCGACUAAGCGUACACGGUGGAUGCCCUGGCAGUCAGAGGCGAUGAAGGACGUGCUAAUCUGCGAUAAGCGUCGGUAAGGUGAUAUGAACCGUUAUAACCGGCGAUUUCCGAAUGGGGAAACCCAGUGUGUUUCGACACACUAUCAUUAACUGAAUCCAUAGGUUAAUGAGGCGAACCGGGGGAACUGAAACAUCUAAGUACCCCGAGGAAAAGAAAUCAACCGAGAUUCCCCCAGUAGCGGCGAGCGAACGGGGAGCAGCCCAGAGCCUGAAUCAGUAUGUGUGUUAGUGGAAGCGUCUGGAAAGGCGCGCGAUACAGGGUGACAGCCCCGUACACAAAAAUGCACAUAUUGUGAGCUCGAUGAGUAGGGCGGGACACGUGGUAUCCUGUCUGAAUAUGGGGGGACCAUCCUCCAAGGCUAAAUACUCCUGACUGACCGAUAGUGAACCAGUACCGUGAGGGAAAGGCGAAAAGAACCCCGGCGAGGGGAGUGAAAAAGAACCUGAAACCGUGUACGUACAAGCAGUGGGAGCACGCUUAGGCGUGUGACUGCGUACCUUUUGUAUAAUGGGUCAGCGACUUAUAUUCUGUAGCAAGGUUAACCGAAUAGGGGAGCCGAAGGGAAACCGAGUCUUAACUGGGCGUUAAGUUGCAGGGUAUAGACCCGAAACCCGGUGAUCUAGCCAUGGGCAGGUUGAAGGUUGGGUAACACUAACUGGAGGACCGAACCGACUAAUGUUGAAAAAUUAGCGGAUGACUUGUGGCUGGGGGUGAAAGGCCAAUCAAACCGGGAGAUAGCUGGUUCUCCCCGAAAGCUAUUUAGGUAGCGCCUCGUGAAUUCAUCUCCGGGGGUAGAGCACUGUUUCGGCAAGGGGGUCAUCCCGACUUACCAACCCGAUGCAAACUGCGAAUACCGGAGAAUGUUAUCACGGGAGACACACGGCGGGUGCUAACGUCCGUCGUGAAGAGGGAAACAACCCAGACCGCCAGCUAAGGUCCCAAAGUCAUGGUUAAGUGGGAAACGAUGUGGGAAGGCCCAGACAGCCAGGAUGUUGGCUUAGAAGCAGCCAUCAUUUAAAGAAAGCGUAAUAGCUCACUGGUCGAGUCGGCCUGCGCGGAAGAUGUAACGGGGCUAAACCAUGCACCGAAGCUGCGGCAGCGACACUAUGUGUUGUUGGGUAGGGGAGCGUUCUGUAAGCCUGUGAAGGUGUGCUGUGAGGCAUGCUGGAGGUAUCAGAAGUGCGAAUGCUGACAUAAGUAACGAUAAAGCGGGUGAAAAGCCCGCUCGCCGGAAGACCAAGGGUUCCUGUCCAACGUUAAUCGGGGCAGGGUGAGUCGACCCCUAAGGCGAGGCCGAAAGGCGUAGUCGAUGGGAAACAGGUUAAUAUUCCUGUACUUGGUGUUACUGCGAAGGGGGGACGGAGAAGGCUAUGUUGGCCGGGCGACGGUUGUCCCGGUUUAAGCGUGUAGGCUGGUUUUCCAGGCAAAUCCGGAAAAUCAAGGCUGAGGCGUGAUGACGAGGCACUACGGUGCUGAAGCAACAAAUGCCCUGCUUCCAGGAAAAGCCUCUAAGCAUCAGGUAACAUCAAAUCGUACCCCAAACCGACACAGGUGGUCAGGUAGAGAAUACCAAGGCGCUUGAGAGAACUCGGGUGAAGGAACUAGGCAAAAUGGUGCCGUAACUUCGGGAGAAGGCACGCUGAUAUGUAGGUGAAGUCCCUCGCGGAUGGAGCUGAAAUCAGUCGAAGAUACCAGCUGGCUGCAACUGUUUAUUAAAAACACAGCACUGUGCAAACACGAAAGUGGACGUAUACGGUGUGACGCCUGCCCGGUGCCGGAAGGUUAAUUGAUGGGGUUAGCCGCAAGGCGAAGCUCUUGAUCGAAGCCCCGGUAAACGGCGGCCGUAACUAUAACGGUCCUAAGGUAGCGAAAUUCCUUGUCGGGUAAGUUCCGACCUGCACGAAUGGCGUAAUGAUGGCCAGGCUGUCUCCACCCGAGACUCAGUGAAAUUGAACUCGCUGUGAAGAUGCAGUGUACCCGCGGCAAGACGGAAAGACCCCGUGAACCUUUACUAUAGCUUGACACUGAACAUUGAGCCUUGAUGUGUAGGAUAGGUGGGAGGCUUUGAAGUGUGGACGCCAGUCUGCAUGGAGCCGACCUUGAAAUACCACCCUUUAAUGUUUGAUGUUCUAACGUUGACCCGUAAUCCGGGUUGCGGACAGUGUCUGGUGGGUAGUUUGACUGGGGCGGUCUCCUCCUAAAGAGUAACGGAGGAGCACGAAGGUUGGCUAAUCCUGGUCGGACAUCAGGAGGUUAGUGCAAUGGCAUAAGCCAGCUUGACUGCGAGCGUGACGGCGCGAGCAGGUGCGAAAGCAGGUCAUAGUGAUCCGGUGGUUCUGAAUGGAAGGGCCAUCGCUCAACGGAUAAAAGGUACUCCGGGGAUAACAGGCUGAUACCGCCCAAGAGUUCAUAUCGACGGCGGUGUUUGGCACCUCGAUGUCGGCUCAUCACAUCCUGGGGCUGAAGUAGGUCCCAAGGGUAUGGCUGUUCGCCAUUUAAAGUGGUACGCGAGCUGGGUUUAGAACGUCGUGAGACAGUUCGGUCCCUAUCUGCCGUGGGCGCUGGAGAACUGAGGGGGGCUGCUCCUAGUACGAGAGGACCGGAGUGGACGCAUCACUGGUGUUCGGGUUGUCAUGCCAAUGGCACUGCCCGGUAGCUAAAUGCGGAAGAGAUAAGUGCUGAAAGCAUCUAAGCACGAAACUUGCCCCGAGAUGAGUUCUCCCUGAC
Molecule: ribosomal RNA, 2803 nt
Filed under: Escherichia coli
Lineage: Bacteria; Pseudomonadati; Pseudomonadota; Gammaproteobacteria; Enterobacterales; Enterobacteriaceae
Description: bacterial LSU rRNA
Rfam family: Bacterial large subunit ribosomal RNA
Source: RNAcentral